Molecule: long non-coding RNA, 589 nt
Filed under: Anser brachyrhynchus (Pink-footed goose)
Lineage: Eukaryota; Metazoa; Chordata; Aves; Anseriformes; Anatidae
Description: lncRNA (ENSABRG00000022981.1)
Source: RNAcentral
GGAAAAAGCAAACCCAAAAGAAAGAACACCACUUGUAAAAUGCAACCACUCCCACAUUGGAAAUGUGGCGUUGACCACUAAAUACGCUGUUAACUCAGCACGCUGGUUGGAGGCAGGGUUUCAAGCUGGGCCCAGCAGGAGCAGCCUGGCCUGCUGCCCCCAGGUGUGAGGGCAUGGGUGAGGCGCCUCUGCCCAACGGCCCUCAGAGGCCGCAGCUGGGCCCAGAUCAGUGGGUGGCUCUGCCUCAGACCAGCCCUGAGGCCUUGCUGUGAGUUGCACUGGAUGGGGCUUCUGCUCGAUGCCUCACUCACUGGGUGUAUGGAUGCAGGCCUAGGGGGCGAAAAAAGCCAGGAGAAUGUUACAGAUGAACCUUUCCAGGGUUAGCUUCUCUGUUGCAGUGCUAGGAACAGAUUCCUACAAUGUUUACUGAGCUAUUGGAAGCACGAAUAGACCUUAGUGUUAUGAUAUAAACCUGCUCAAAAUACUGAGAAACAACACAGACCUGGCCACAAUGUGAGUGUCUUUCUCUGUAAUAUGCUGUUUCUAAAAAGAAAAGUCAAUAAUGUUGAUGACCUGGCCAAACAUCAGC